GACGAACGCUGGCGGCGUGCUUAACACAUGCAAGUCGAACGGAAAGGCCCCCUUGUGGGGUACUCGAGUGGCGAACGGGUGAGUAACACGUGAGUAACCUACCCUUGACUUUGGGAUAACUUCAGGAAACUGGGGCUAAUACCGGAUAGGAGCUCCUGCUGCAUGGUGGGGGUUGGAAAGUUUCGGCGGUUGGGGAUGGACUCGCGGCUUAUCAGCUUGUUGGUGGGGUAGUGGCUCACCAAGGCUUUGACGGGUAGCCGGCCUGAGAGGGUGACCGGCCACAUUGGGACUGAGAUACGGCCCAGACUCCUACGGGAGGCAGCAGUGGGGAAUAUUGCACAAUGGGCGGAAGCCUGAUGCAGCGACGCCGCGUGCGGGAUGACGGCCUUCGGGUUGUAAACCGCUUUCGCCUGUGACGAAGCGUGAGUGACGGUAAUGGGUAAAGAAGCACCGGCUAACUACGUG
This 465-nucleotide ribosomal RNA is filed under the name uncultured bacterium. Its description in RNAcentral is "partial 16S ribosomal RNA". It matches the Rfam family "Bacterial small subunit ribosomal RNA", at positions 28 to 507 of the family's 1533-position model. The record is from RNAcentral.